GGAAAAUAAUUAUUCUCAUAAAAUACUGGUUAAAGGUAAGAACUACACUUAUGGGAAGGAUAGCAUUAAGGAAGUGUAGUAGUAUAGGUCUAAUUACUUGGAAAUAUCCAUGCAUACUAAACAAAAGAGAUCCCAGCAGAACAUUACUCAAGAUCAACGAUGUCACAUGUUAUCCAAAUAAUUACAUAAUACUUACAUUAUUAACUCAGUGGAAGCAUGUAAGUAAUAACUAGUGCAUUCAAUCCUUAUUAAAUAUCCAAACAUACAGUAUAUUCACAUAAAUAUAGAAAUGCUCUAAGCCAGGCAGUGUUAUCCUUGGGAUGUUUGUUAAUUACAUAUGCCUGAAAAAGUCUUGCAGGCUCAAAUAAGUUUGCCUAACUCAACUUAUUAACCUCACUUUAAGAAAUUUCCCUAAGUGUAGUAGUUAAGGCACUGAGAGAUCCUGUGCAAUGUGUUAAUGACUUUGCUCUCAUUUCCCCAAACUUAUUUAACCACAGAACUCUUUUUCACAACACGCCCAUUAACAUCUUUCAAAACUAUCAUUCUUGGUACAAUUUGGAAGAUGCUGCACUAAGGCAACAAAAGUCUCAAAGUAAAGUAUCAGUGCAAAAAAGAAUUCAAGUAAUGUCAACCUGCACUUCUCACCAACUAUAAAGAGGAGAAAAGAAACAUUUAGGGAAUAUGCUAGAGAAGGGGUUCUCCAAGAUUGGCGAGAUCUGACUGUGAUGGCUGCAGACGACACACAUAGGAGAAUCUGAAGCACUCUUCCCUCAGGUUCUGUGACUACCCCACUGCAAACUUGGCCUCUGACCUGUGGCAAGAUGACUUUCUUCAGCUGCUCCUGAGUG
This 848-nucleotide long non-coding RNA is filed under the name Homo sapiens (human). RNAcentral describes it as "HSALNT0296443". The record is from RNAcentral. Lineage: Eukaryota; Metazoa; Chordata; Mammalia; Primates; Hominidae.